GGGGUUGUGCUCAGUGGUAGAGCGCUUGUCUCGCACGCAGGGACCCUGGGUUCGAUCCUCAGCACCA
This 67-nucleotide transfer RNA is filed under the name Ictidomys tridecemlineatus (thirteen-lined ground squirrel). Its description in RNAcentral is "Spermophilus tridecemlineatus (thirteen-lined ground squirrel) tRNA". It matches the Rfam family "tRNA". Rfam says of the family: Transfer RNA (tRNA) molecules are approximately 80 nucleotides in length. Their secondary structure includes four short double-helical elements and three loops (D, anti-codon, and T loops). Further hydrogen bonds mediate the characteristic L-shaped molecular structure. tRNAs have two regions of fundamental functional importance: the anti-codon, which is responsible for specific mRNA codon recognition, and the 3' end, to which the tRNAs corresponding amino acid is attached (by aminoacyl-tRNA synthetases). tRNAs cope with the degeneracy of the genetic code in two manners: having more than one tRNA (with a specific anti-codon) for a particular amino acid; and 'wobble' base-pairing, i.e. permitting non-standard base-pairing at the 3rd anti-codon position. Lineage: Eukaryota; Metazoa; Chordata; Mammalia; Rodentia; Sciuridae. The record is from Rfam by way of RNAcentral.